UAGGAGGAGCAGGGCUAGGCUUCCGAGAGAGACCAGGCCUGGGACACACUGACAGUGGAGCUUCCAGUGGACCCUCCAUGAGCAUUGCCGACAUGCUGCCUAAGUCGAAGACAGGUCCUGGAACUGACAGGCUAGCAGCAAUGAAAGCCGCCUUCAGGGCACAGUAUCAAAGUCAGUUCACAGCUUCCGAGGAUCACACGUGGGGAGCA
Long non-coding RNA from Homalodisca vitripennis (glassy-winged sharpshooter), 209 nucleotides. RefSeq lists it as uncharacterized. The record is from RefSeq and is a predicted model, not a curated record. NCBI's taxonomy places the organism in Eukaryota, Metazoa, Arthropoda, Insecta, Hemiptera, Cicadellidae. The transcript has 3 exons.